CGUGCCUAACACAUGCAAGUCGAACGGAAGAUUAUCGCUGAUGAAGCUUCGGCAGAAUCUUGAUGAUCUUAGUGGCGGACGGGUGAGUAACGCGUGGGCAACCUGCCUCGUACUGGGGGAUAACAGCUGGAAACGACUGUUAAUACCGCAUAAGCGCACGGUGUCGCAUGACACAGUGUGAAAAACUCCGGUGGUACGAGAUGGGCCCGCGUCAGAUUAGCCAGUUGGUGGGGUAACGGCCUACCAAAGCAACGAUCUGUAGCCGGACUGAGAGGUCGGACGGCCACAUUGGGACUGAGACACGGCCCAAACUCCUACGGGAGGCAGCAGUGGGGGAUAUUGCACAAUGGGCGAAAGCCUGAUGCAGCGACGCCGCCGGUGAGUGAAGAAGUAUUUCGGUAUGUAAAGCUCUAUCAGCAGGGAAGAAAGACCCAUUAAGGGAGAUGACGGUACCUGACUAAGAAGCCCCGGCUAACUACGUGCCAGCCGCCGC
This 493-nucleotide ribosomal RNA is filed under the name uncultured bacterium. RNAcentral's name for it is "bacterial SSU rRNA". It matches the Rfam family "Bacterial small subunit ribosomal RNA", at positions 43 to 518 of the family's 1533-position model. The record is from RNAcentral.